CCUUUGGUGGUACCGUCAGCUUGCCCCGAAAGAGCAAGGGUUCUUCCCACCUGACAGGGCUUUACGACCCGAAGGCCUUCAUCACCCACGCGGCGUUGCUGCGUCAGGGUUUCCCCCAUUGCGCAAUAUUCCC
Molecule: ribosomal RNA, 133 nt
Filed under: uncultured bacterium
Lineage: Bacteria
Description: partial 16S ribosomal RNA
Source: RNAcentral